This 414-nucleotide ribosomal RNA is filed under the name uncultured bacterium. RNAcentral's name for it is "bacterial SSU rRNA". It matches the Rfam family "Bacterial small subunit ribosomal RNA", at positions 355 to 794 of the family's 1533-position model. The record is from RNAcentral.
UCGAGAAUCUUCGGCAAUGGACGAAAGUCUGACCGAGCGACGCCGCGUGCGGGAUGGAGGCCUUCGGGUUGUAAACCGCUGUCAGUUGGGAGGACCGAUCUUCAGAGGAAGGACGGGCUAAGUUCGUGCCAGCAGCCGCGGUAAGACGAACCGUCCGAACGUUAUUCGGUAUCACUGGGCUUAAGCGUUCGUAGGCGGCCUAGUAGGUGAGAUGUGAAAGCCCUCGGCUUAACCGAGGAACAGCGUUUCAAACCACUGGGCUAGAGGGUGGCAGGGGUAAUGGGAACUGAUGGUGGAGCGGUGAAAUGCGUUGAUAUCAUCAGGAACACCGGUGGCGAAAGCGCAUUACUGGGCCAUUUCUGACGCUGAGGAACGAAAGCUAGGGUAGCGAACGGGAUUAGAUACCCGAGUAGU